GAUGAACGCUGGCGGCGUGCCUAAUACAUGCAAGUCGAGCGAACAGAUGAGAAGCUUGCUUCUCUGAUGUUAGCGGCGGACGGGUGAGUAACACGUGGGUAACCUACCUAUAAGACUGGGAUAACUCCGGGAAACCGGGGCUAAUACCGGAUAAUAUUUUGAACCGCAUGGUUCAAUAGUGAAAGACGGUUUCGGCUGUCACUUAUAGAUGGUCCAGCGCUGUAUUAGCUAGUUGGGAAGGUAACGGCUUACCAAGGCGACGAUACGUAGCCGACCUGGGAGGGUGAUCGGCCACACUGGAACUGAGACACGGUCCAGACUCCUACGGGAGGCAGCAGUAGGGAAUCUUCCGCAAUGGGCGAAAGCCUGACGGAGCAACGCCGCGUGAGUGAUGAAGGUCUUCGGAUCGUAAAACUCUGUUGUUAGGGAAGAACAAAUUUGUUAGUAACUGAACAAGUCUUGACGGUACCUAACCAGAAAGCCACGGCUAACUACGUGCCAGCCGCCGCCGUAA
Molecule: ribosomal RNA, 514 nt
Filed under: uncultured bacterium
Lineage: Bacteria
Description: partial 16S ribosomal RNA
Rfam family: Bacterial small subunit ribosomal RNA
Source: RNAcentral